UACGGAGGGCGCAAGCGUUGCUCGGAAUUACUGGGCGUAAAGCGCGUGUAGGCGGUCGGCCAUGUCGGAUGUGAAAGCCCCCGGCUUAACCGGGGAAGUGCAUCCGAAACUAGCUGACUAGAGGUCGGUAGAGGGUAGGGGAAUUCCCGGUGUAGAGGUGAAAUUCGUAGAUAUCGGGAGGAACACCGGUGGCGAAGGCGCCUGCCUGGGCCGCACCUGACGCUGAGACGCGAAAGCGUGGGGAGCAAACAGG
RNAcentral lists this ribosomal RNA (253 nucleotides) under uncultured bacterium. Its description in RNAcentral is "partial 16S ribosomal RNA". It matches the Rfam family "Bacterial small subunit ribosomal RNA", at positions 524 to 776 of the family's 1533-position model. The record is from RNAcentral.